GGAACUCUAGCUCAGUGGGAGAGCACAUUCCUUGUAUGCAGAAGGUGCCAGAUUUGAUCCCUGGCACCUCCA
Molecule: non-coding RNA, 72 nt
Organism: Phrynosoma platyrhinos (Desert horned lizard)
Lineage: Eukaryota; Metazoa; Chordata; Lepidosauria; Squamata; Phrynosomatidae
Source: the annotation of a GenBank genome assembly